This 471-nucleotide ribosomal RNA is filed under the name uncultured bacterium. Its description in RNAcentral is "bacterial SSU rRNA". It matches the Rfam family "Bacterial small subunit ribosomal RNA", at positions 27 to 518 of the family's 1533-position model. The record is from RNAcentral.
GGACGAACGCUGGCGGCGUGCUUCAUACAUGCAAGUCGAACGAGAAGUCACCUUCGGGUGAUGGAAAGUGGCGGACGGGUGAGUAAUGUGUAGAGAAUCUGCCCUAGAGAGAGGGACAACAGUUGGAAACGACUGCUAAUACCUCAUAUGCGCGUAGCUGAGAUGCUAUUCGUGAAAACUCCGGUGCUCUGGGAUGAGUCUGCAUCUGAUUAGCUAGUUGGCGGUGUAAUGGACCACCAAGGCGACGAUCAGUAGCUGGUUUGAGAGGAUGAUCAGCCACAAUGGGACUGAGACACGGCCCAUACUCCUACGGGAGGCAGCAGUAGGGAAUUUUGCGCAAUGGGGGAAACCCUGACGCAAGCAACGCCGCGUGAUUGAAUAAGCCCUUCGGGGUGUAAAGAUCUGUCAGUAGGGACGAAACUUGACGGUACCUACAGAGGAAGCAUCGGCUAACUCCGUGCCAGCAGCGGC